GACGAACGCUGGCGGCGUGCUUAACACAUGCAAGUCGAACGGAAAGGCCCUGCUUUUGUGCGAUGCUCGAGUGGCGAACAGGUGAGUAUCACGUGAGUGACCUGCCCUUUUCUUUGGGGUACCUUCAGGAAACUGGAACUCAUACACGGUAUAAACUCCUGCUACAUAGUUUGGAUUGUAGAAUGUCGGCGGUUGGGGAUGGACUCGCGGCUUAUCAGCUUGUUGGUGAGGUAGUGACUUACCAAGGCUUUGACGGGUAGCCGGCCUGAGAGGGUGACCGGCCACAUUGGGAUAGAGAUACGGCCCAGACGGCUACGGGAGGCAGCAGUGGGGAACAGUGCACAAUGGGCGGAAGCCUGAUGCAGCAACGCCGCGUGCGGGAUGACGGCCUUCGGGGUGGAACCCGCGUUAGCCUGUGACGAAGCGUGAGUGACGGUAAUGGGCAAAGAAGCACCGGCUAACUACGUG
RNAcentral lists this ribosomal RNA (468 nucleotides) under uncultured bacterium. RNAcentral describes it as "partial 16S ribosomal RNA". It matches the Rfam family "Bacterial small subunit ribosomal RNA", at positions 28 to 507 of the family's 1533-position model. The record is from RNAcentral.